UACGAAGGCCCCGAGCGUUAUCCGGAUUUAUUGGGCGUAAAGCGUUAAAAGGCGGUUUGGUAAGUCACUGGUUAAAUCCCACAGCUCAACUGUGGGGCCGCUGGUGAAACUGCCAGGCUUGAGGCUGGAAGAGGCAAGCGGAACUACCGGUGUAGUGGUAAAAUGCGUUAAUAUCGGUAGGAACACCAAAGGCGAAAGCAGCUUGCUGGUACAGUCCUGACGCUGAAUAACGAAAGCGUGGGGAGCGAAUGGG
This 253-nucleotide ribosomal RNA is filed under the name uncultured prokaryote. RNAcentral describes it as "partial 16S ribosomal RNA". It matches the Rfam family "Bacterial small subunit ribosomal RNA", at positions 524 to 776 of the family's 1533-position model. The record is from RNAcentral.